This 217-nucleotide ribosomal RNA is filed under the name Escherichia coli. RNAcentral's name for it is "partial 23S ribosomal RNA". It matches the Rfam family "Bacterial large subunit ribosomal RNA", at positions 1 to 218 of the family's 2925-position model. RNAcentral also lists the same sequence under 1 other name. Lineage: Bacteria; Pseudomonadati; Pseudomonadota; Gammaproteobacteria; Enterobacterales; Enterobacteriaceae. The record is from RNAcentral.
GGUUAAGCGACUAAGCGUACACGGUGGAUGCCCUGGCAGUCAGAGGCGAUGAAGGACGUGCUAAUCUGCGAUAAGCGUCGGUAAGGUGAUAUGAACCGUUAUAACCGGCGAUUUCCGAAUGGGGAAACCCAGUGUGUUUCGACACACUAUCAUUAACUGAAUCCAUAGGUUAAUGAGGCGAACCGGGGGAACUGAAACAUCUAAGUACCCCGAGGAA